This 491-nucleotide ribosomal RNA is filed under the name uncultured bacterium. Its description in RNAcentral is "partial 16S ribosomal RNA". It matches the Rfam family "Bacterial small subunit ribosomal RNA", at positions 29 to 506 of the family's 1533-position model. The record is from RNAcentral.
AGUGAACGCUGGCGGUAGGCCUAACACAUGCAAGUCGAACGGCAGCACAGUAAGAGCUUGCUCUUACGGGUGGCGAGUGGCGGACGGGUGAGGAAUACAUCGGAAUCUACUUUUUCGUGGGGGAUAACGUAGGGAAACUUACGCUAAUACCGCAUACGACCUACGGGUGAAAGCAGGGGAUCUUCGGACCUUGCGCGAUUGAAUGAGCCGAUGUCGGAUUAGCUAGUUGGCGGGGUAAAGGCCCACCAAGGCGACGAUCCGUAGCUGGUCUGAGAGGAUGAUCGAACACACGGGAACGGAGACACGGUCCACCCCCCGACGGGAGGCAGCGGGGGGGAAUUUGGGAAAAGGGGCGGAAGCGUAAUCCCACCACAACGGGGGGGGGAAGAGGGCCUGGGGGUUGUAAAGCCUUUUUGGUGGGAAAAAAAAGGCGCAGGUUAAACCCCCGGUGUUUUGACGGUACCCAAAAAAAAAACACCGGCAAAUUUGGU